This 563-nucleotide long non-coding RNA is filed under the name Musa acuminata (dwarf banana). RNAcentral describes it as "long non-coding RNA (MACU_LNC000086)". Lineage: Eukaryota; Viridiplantae; Streptophyta; Magnoliopsida; Zingiberales; Musaceae. The record is from RNAcentral.
GUACUCCGCCUGCUCCUCUCCCUCUCUCUCUCUCUGCUUCUCACCCUUCUCCUCCCUCCUUCCUUCUCAUGGAGCCUCAGGCGGCCGAUUCUGGCGCCUCCCCUGCUGCAGCCCCCGUGCAGAAGGAGAGAGAGAGUAUCUUCGGCCAGGUGGAUCCGUUCCUCAUCGAAGCCCUCGAGAAUCCUCGCCACCGCCUUACCGGUUGGUUUUCUCAAUUCUUGUUCUAUGUUGCAAUUCUCAGAAUGGUUGGCGGAUUAAGUGCGUUAGGGUUUGUGCUUAUGGGGAUUUGAAGGUCCUAUUUGUGGUGGGUUCGGAAUUUGGGCUCGUACUUGGUUUAUUAAUUGGAUACGUUCCUUGACGGGAGGUGCAGGUGGCCGAUCGAACAAUUGUGAGUUGGAAAUUGGUACAUGUCAUGUCCGUUGAAGUGCGCUUGGUGUUGGGUUUGUGUUCCAUUGUGUUUAGUGUGUGAUACUUGUUGAUCGAUUCGUGUUUUGCCAGUCAAAUAUUGAAUUCUGAAUCUAAUAUGGCUAACAACAUGUGGGUUAAUACGUGAGUUGUGUUUU